UAAUACGGAGGGGGCUAGCGUUGUUCGGAAUUACUGGGCGUAAAGGGCGCGUAGGCGGCCGGCUAAGUUAGGCGUGAAAGGCCUGGGCUCAACCCGGGAACUGCGCUUGAUACUGUCUGGCUGGAGUCCGGGAGAGGAUGGCGGAAUUCCCAGUGUAGAGGUGAAAUUCGUAGAUAUUGGGAAGAACACCGGUGGCGAAGGCGGCCAUCUGGACCGGCACUGACGCUGAGGCGCGAAAGCGUGGGGAGCAAACAGGAUUAGAUACCCUGGUAGUCCACGCUGUAAACGAUGAGUGCUAGACGUCGGGGGCGCAAGCCUUCGGUGUCGCAGCUAACGCUUUAAGCACUCCGCCUGGGGAGUACGGCCGCAAGGUUA
RNAcentral lists this ribosomal RNA (375 nucleotides) under uncultured bacterium. RNAcentral's name for it is "bacterial SSU rRNA". It matches the Rfam family "Bacterial small subunit ribosomal RNA", at positions 521 to 896 of the family's 1533-position model. The record is from RNAcentral.